AAAGCAGCCGCGGUAAUUCCAGCUCCAAUAGCGUAUAUUAAAGUUGUUGCAGUUAAAAGCUCGUAGUUGAACCUCGGAAUCAAUUGAUUGGUCAUGCCAUUGGUGUGUACUGGUCAUAUUGGUUCUCACCUUCUAAGGAACCUUAAUGUCAUUAAUUUGAUGUUUUGGGGAAUUAGGACUGUUACCUUGAAAAAAUUAGAGUGUUUAAAGCAGGCUAACGCUUGAAUACAUUAGCAUGGAAUAAUGAAAUAGGACAUCGCAUUCUAUUUUGUUGGUUUCUAGGAUCGAUGUAAUGAUUAAUAGGGAUAGUUGGGGGCAUUAGUAUUCAAUUGUCAGAGGUGAAAUUCUUGGAUUUAUUGAAGACUAACUACUGCGAAAGCAUUUGCCAAGGAUGUUUUCAUUAAUCAAGAACGAAAGUUAGGGGAUCGAAGACGAUCAGAUACCGUCGUAGUCUUAACCAUAAACUAUGCCGACUAGGGAUCGGAUGAUGUUAUUUUUAAUGACUCA
This 507-nucleotide ribosomal RNA is filed under the name uncultured Glomus. Its description in RNAcentral is "SSU rRNA". It matches the Rfam family "Eukaryotic small subunit ribosomal RNA", at positions 567 to 1078 of the family's 1831-position model. Lineage: Eukaryota; Fungi; Glomeromycota; Glomeromycetes; Glomerales; Glomeraceae. The record is from RNAcentral.